Molecule: long non-coding RNA, 319 nt
Filed under: Vitis vinifera (wine grape)
Lineage: Eukaryota; Viridiplantae; Streptophyta; Magnoliopsida; Vitales; Vitaceae
Description: long non-coding RNA (VVIN_LNC000841)
Source: RNAcentral
AUUGACUUUGUUCAAUGUGAAUGAGCAAUAUCUCAAUAUCCCCCAUGACUGGUUUUCAAAGGAGAACAAAAUUGUGGUUCUUCAGCUUGGGAGGUGGAAGGAUUCAGCCAAGCACCACAAUGAAGUCGAAAAUGAAGACCACAAAGAAGUUGAAAAUGAAGACCACAUAGAAGUCGAAAAUGAAGACUUCUUGAAAGCUUUGGGGACCAAGAAGCAUUUGAAGUAUCUCAGCCUGCGAGGAAUUUCAAGAAUCACUAAAAUACCUUCCACAAUCCGUAAACUCAUUAAUCUUGAAAUACUGGAUCUCAGGGCAUGUCAC